RNAcentral lists this ribosomal RNA (339 nucleotides) under uncultured Pseudomonadota bacterium. Its description in RNAcentral is "bacterial SSU rRNA". It matches the Rfam family "Bacterial small subunit ribosomal RNA", at positions 29 to 351 of the family's 1533-position model. Lineage: Bacteria; Pseudomonadati; Pseudomonadota. The record is from RNAcentral.
AAUUAACGCUGGCGGCAUGCCUAACACAUGCAAGUCGCACGAGAAAGCCCGGUUCGCCGGGCGAGUAAAGUGGCGCACGGGUGAGUAACGCGUGGAUAAUCUACCUCUUUCUGGGGGAUAACGCACCGAAAGGUGCGCUAAUACCGCAUAACCCGGCGAAAUUUCGGUUUUGUCGGUAAAGGUGGCCUCUUCAUGAAAGCUACCGGGAAGAGAUGAGUCCGCGUCCCAUUAGCUUGUUGGUGGGGUAAUGGCCUACCAAGGCUCCGAUGGGUAGCUGGUCUGAGAGGACGAUCAGCCACACUGGAACUGGAACACGGUCCAGACUCCUACGGGAGGCAG